GAAUCUCGUGGGGCAAUGGUAGCCCGCUAACUCAAGCUUCUAUCUUGACGGCAGAGAUGUUGGUUCGAAUCCAACCGAGACA
RNAcentral lists this transfer RNA (82 nucleotides) under Hypoxylon rubiginosum. RNAcentral describes it as "tRNA-Sec". It matches the Rfam family "tRNA". From Rfam's summary of the family: Transfer RNA (tRNA) molecules are approximately 80 nucleotides in length. Their secondary structure includes four short double-helical elements and three loops (D, anti-codon, and T loops). Further hydrogen bonds mediate the characteristic L-shaped molecular structure. tRNAs have two regions of fundamental functional importance: the anti-codon, which is responsible for specific mRNA codon recognition, and the 3' end, to which the tRNAs corresponding amino acid is attached (by aminoacyl-tRNA synthetases). tRNAs cope with the degeneracy of the genetic code in two manners: having more than one tRNA (with a specific anti-codon) for a particular amino acid; and 'wobble' base-pairing, i.e. permitting non-standard base-pairing at the 3rd anti-codon position. Lineage: Eukaryota; Fungi; Ascomycota; Sordariomycetes; Xylariales; Hypoxylaceae. The record is from RNAcentral.